This 137-nucleotide microRNA precursor is filed under the name Gossypium hirsutum (cotton). RNAcentral's name for it is "MIR7502 microRNA precursor family". It matches the Rfam family "MIR7502 microRNA precursor family". RNAcentral also lists the same sequence under 1 other name. The record is from Rfam by way of RNAcentral. Lineage: Eukaryota; Viridiplantae; Streptophyta; Magnoliopsida; Malvales; Malvaceae.
CGUUAAAAAUUUCAUCCAAUAUUUGCACUAUUAAAAGUUGACAUGACUAACGGAAUAAUCACAGGUGUACUACGCGUACCUCACGCUGAUGUACAAUAAUCAUUUUUUAAUAGUAGAAAUGGAUGAAACUUUUAACA